Molecule: non-coding RNA, 279 nt
Organism: Cinara cedri
Lineage: Eukaryota; Metazoa; Arthropoda; Insecta; Hemiptera; Aphididae
Source: the annotation of a GenBank genome assembly
CGUGAUAACAAUAAUAAUAACAAUAACUGUAGCCGAUAAAACCGCAAUGGUCCGCAGACUCGUGUUUAUUAUCGGCCGUUUUAAUUGCGCCAUUCGGGAACGCCUCCGACGUGCCCCUAAAUAAUAAAAACGGAAAAAUUAAAGCUCUGCUCGUAAAAUUCAAACGCGAAGACGAAAAACAAAAACGAGUGGACUCUUAAGGAAAUUUCGGAAUAAAGAGGCCCGGAUAUGCAAAAUAUUUGCAACUGAUCGCAAUGUUUGAUGCACAUUAUGCGUCCA